CCAUCUGUUUUCACACUGGCAGGAGCCUUUUCUGUGGAGCUUUCACAGGGUCCUGGGCACCUUUGGGAGUCUGGGCUGGAGUUGCAGCCUGGGCCUGAGCUGGAGCUGUGGCCUCUGUCUUGGUUUGAACCUUGGGCCUCUGACCCUUGGCCAUGUAGCUUUGAAUCCUCUUCCCAAGCUUGGGGUGAGCGACGAAAGCCAGAUGGCUGAGUUUGCAGCUGGGGCCCUUUGGCAUCUUGGGCUUGACGGCCUGAGGCUUCACCAGGGCCUUGAUGGUCUCUGCUCGUGCAGAUGCUCGUGCUUGAUGGCCUGCCUUUGCAUUGUUGGCCUGCAUCUUCUUCAGGCCUUUCUUGUUGUGCUUCUUGGCAAAGUACAUGUUCCUCAGGAACUUGGGGUCAAUCAACCCCCUUAAGAGAUUUGUUAUCUUUGUGAAUGGGGUUUCUUGAUGCCAGGAUUGGGAGUUUGAGGCAUGAAUUACAC
This 480-nucleotide long non-coding RNA is filed under the name Rattus norvegicus (Norway rat). RNAcentral describes it as "long non-coding RNA NONRATT024178". The record is from RNAcentral. Lineage: Eukaryota; Metazoa; Chordata; Mammalia; Rodentia; Muridae.